This 385-nucleotide ribosomal RNA is filed under the name uncultured bacterium. RNAcentral describes it as "bacterial SSU rRNA". It matches the Rfam family "Bacterial small subunit ribosomal RNA", at positions 28 to 417 of the family's 1533-position model. The record is from RNAcentral.
GACGAACGCUGGCGGCGUGCUUAACACAUGCAAGUCGAGCGGUAAGGCCCUUUCGGGGGUACACGAGCGGCGAACGGGUGAGUAACACGUGGGUGACCUGCCCUUAGCUCUGGGAUAAGCCUGGGAAACUGGGUCUAAUACCGGAUAUGACUCCAUGACGCAUGUUGUGGGGUGGAAAGCCUUGUGCGGCUAGGGAUGGGCCCGCGGCCUAUCAGCUUGUUGGUGGGGUGAUGGCCACCAAGGCGACGACGGGUAGCCGGCCUGAGAGGGCGACCGGCCACACUGGGACUGAGACACGGCCCAGACUCCUACGGGAGGCGGCAGUGGGGAAUCUUGCGCAAUGGCGAAAGCCUGACGCAGCGACGCCGCGUGGGGAUGACGGCCU